UACAGAGGGUGCGAGCGUUAAUCGGAAUUACUGGGCGUAAAGCGUGCGUAGACGGUUAUUUAAGUCGGGUGUGAAAGCCCCGGGCUCAACCUGGGAAUUGCAUUCGAGACUGAAUAGCUAGGGUACGGUAGAGGGAAGCGGAAUUUCCGGUGUAGCGGUGAAAUGCGUAGAUAUCGGAAGGAACAUCAGUGGCGAAAGCGGCUUCCUGGACCAGUACCGACGUUCAGGCACGAAAGCGUGGGGAGCAAACAGG
Molecule: ribosomal RNA, 253 nt
Filed under: Acidibacter sp.
Lineage: Bacteria; Pseudomonadati; Pseudomonadota; Gammaproteobacteria
Also listed under: 4 other names
Description: partial 16S ribosomal RNA
Rfam family: Bacterial small subunit ribosomal RNA
Source: RNAcentral